GAGUUUGAUCUGGCUCAGAUUGAACGCUGGCGGCAUGCCUUACACAUGCAAGUCGAACGGCAGCACGGGAGCUUGCUCCUGGUGGCGAGUGGCGAACGGGUGAGUAAUGCAUCGGAACGUAUCCUGGAGUGGGGGAUAACGUAGCGAAAGUUACGCUAAUACCGCAUAUUCUGUGAGCAGGAAAGCGGGGGACCUUCGGGCCUCGCGCUCUUGGAGCGGCCGAUGUCGGAUUAGCUAGUUGGUGAGGUAAAGGCUCACCAAGGCGACGAUCCGUAGCAGGUCUGAGAGGAUGAUCUGCCACACUGGAACUGAGACACGGUCAGACUCCUACGGGAGGCAGCAGUGGGAAUUUUGGACAAUGGGGGCGAACCCUGAUCCAGCCAUGCCGCGUGAGUGAAGAAGGCCUCGGUUG
RNAcentral lists this ribosomal RNA (412 nucleotides) under bacterium enrichment culture clone ALO1_GLFRUDD03FRI7T. RNAcentral's name for it is "bacterial SSU rRNA". It matches the Rfam family "Bacterial small subunit ribosomal RNA", at positions 9 to 425 of the family's 1533-position model. The record is from RNAcentral.